AGAUGUGAUGGCAAGCAGGGCGUGGCUCAUGCCAUCCUAUUGGCCACCAUGGUUGAUUCCAUUGAGAUGCCUGACUAGGGUAUCCACUUCCUUCCUAGCUGCUCCACGCAAUCCCUUCCCAAGUUGUUCACUUGGUGGAAGAGAAUGGCCCUUCACGGGGAAGGGAAGACUGUUCUUCAGUCAUGUGUUUAGAGUAUCCAUGACUCCCUACUAGAACCUCCUAAUAAUGUUAAUAAUACAUGGACCACAAGGGCCAGCGAGAUGGCUCUGCAGGUGAAGGCAACAGCCACCAAGCUUUAGGACCUGAGUU
This 310-nucleotide small nuclear RNA is filed under the name Mus spretus (western wild mouse). Its description in RNAcentral is "predicted gene, 55526 (ENSMSPG00010001902.1)". The stretch from base 1 to 269 matches the Rfam family "7SK RNA". From Rfam's summary of the family: 7SK was discovered as an abundant small nuclear RNA in the mid-70s but a possible function has only recently been suggested. Two independent studies have found that 7SK RNA binds the CDK9/cyclin T complex (known as elongation factor P-TEFb). P-TEFb activates transcription by phosphorylating the C-terminal domain of RNA polymerase II. The record is from RNAcentral. Lineage: Eukaryota; Metazoa; Chordata; Mammalia; Rodentia; Muridae.